GACGAACGCUGGCGGCGUGCUUAACACAUGCAAGUCGAACGGAAAGGCCCUGCUUUUGUGGGGUGCUCGAGUGGCGAACGGGUGAGUAACACGUGAGUAACCUGCCCUUGACUUUGGGAUAACUUCAGGAAACUGGGGCUAAUACCGGAUAGGAGCUCCUGCUGCAUGGUGGGGGUUGGAAAGUUUCGGCGGUUGGGGAUGGACGCGCGGCUUAUCAGCUUGUUGGUGGGGUAGUGGCUUACCAAGGCUUUGACGGGUAGCCGGCCUGAGAGGGUGACCGGCCACAUUGGGACUGAGAUACGGCCCAGACUCCUACGGGAGGCAGCAGUGGGGAAUAUUGCACAAUGGGCGGAAGCCUGAUGCAGCAACGCCGCGGGCGGGAUGACGGCCUUCGGGUUGUAAACCGCUUUCGCCUGUGACGAAGCGUGAGUGACGGUAAUGGGUAAAGAAGCACCGGCUAACUACGUG
RNAcentral lists this ribosomal RNA (468 nucleotides) under uncultured bacterium. RNAcentral describes it as "partial 16S ribosomal RNA". It matches the Rfam family "Bacterial small subunit ribosomal RNA", at positions 28 to 507 of the family's 1533-position model. The record is from RNAcentral.